RNAcentral lists this ribosomal RNA (468 nucleotides) under uncultured bacterium. RNAcentral's name for it is "partial 16S ribosomal RNA". It matches the Rfam family "Bacterial small subunit ribosomal RNA", at positions 28 to 507 of the family's 1533-position model. The record is from RNAcentral.
GACGAACGCUGGCGGCGUGCUUAACACAUGCAAGUCGAACGGAAAGGCCCUGCUUUUGUGGGGUGCUCGAGUGGCGAACGGGUGAGUAACACGUGAGUAACCUGCCCUUGACUUUGGGAUAACUUCAGGAAACUGGGGCUAAUACCGGAUAGGAGCUCCUGCUGCAUGGUGGGGGUUGGAAAGUUUCGGCGGUUGGGGAUGGACUCGCGGCUUAUCAGCUUGUUGGUGGGGUAGUGGCUUACCAAGGCUUUGACGGGUAGCCGGCCUGAGAGGGUUACCGGCCACAUUGGGACUGAGAUACGGCCCAGACUCCUACGGGAGGCGGCAGUGGGGAAUAUUGCACAAUGGGCGGAAGCCUGAUGCAGCAACGCCGCGUGCGGGAUGACGGCCUUCGGGUUGUAAACCGCUUUCGCCUGUGACGAAGCGUGAGUGACGGUAAUGGGUAAAGAAGCACCGGCUAACUACGUG